UAAAUUCUUCGGGGCAGGGUGUAAUUCCCGACCGACGGUAAAUGAUGUCUAUAUCAAAGUCCGUGAGCCAUUUUAAAUGGUUGAGCUAGUGUGAAUCUAGCACCGACAGUUAAAGUCUGGAUGGGAGAAGAAUUAA
Molecule: non-coding RNA, 136 nt
Filed under: Weissella koreensis
Lineage: Bacteria; Bacillati; Bacillota; Bacilli; Lactobacillales; Lactobacillaceae
Description: FMN sequence
Rfam family: FMN riboswitch aptamer (RFN element)
About the family: The RFN element is a highly conserved domain that is found frequently in the 5'-untranslated regions of prokaryotic mRNAs that encode for flavin mononucleotide (FMN) biosynthesis and transport proteins.
Source: RNAcentral